RNAcentral lists this ribosomal RNA (332 nucleotides) under uncultured bacterium. Its description in RNAcentral is "bacterial SSU rRNA". It matches the Rfam family "Bacterial small subunit ribosomal RNA", at positions 568 to 898 of the family's 1533-position model. The record is from RNAcentral.
CGCGUAGGUGGUUGUGUAAGUCAGAUGUGAAAUCCCGAGGCUCAACUUCGGAACUGCAUCUGAUACUGCAUGACUCGAGUGCAGCAGAGGGAAACGGAAUUCCUGGUGUAGAGGUGAAAUUCGUAGAUAUCAGGAGGAACACCGGUGGCGAAGGCGGUUUCCUGGGCUGACACUGACACUGAGGCGCGAAAGCGUGGGUAGCAAACAGGAUUAGAUACCCUGGUAGUCCACGCUUUGAAACGGUGAAUACUGGGUGUGGGAGGUGUAAUGCCUUCUGUGCCGAAGCUAACGCGUUAAGUAUUCCGCCUGGGGAGUACGGCCGCAAGGUUGAA